Molecule: ribosomal RNA, 254 nt
Filed under: uncultured bacterium
Lineage: Bacteria
Description: partial 16S ribosomal RNA
Rfam family: Bacterial small subunit ribosomal RNA
Source: RNAcentral
AACGUAGGAGGCAAGCGUUAUCCGGAUUUACUGGGUGUAAAGCGCGUGCAGGCGGUCAUGCAAGUCGCGUGUGAAAGCGCCCGGCUCAACCGGGCGAGGCCGCGCGAAACUGCGUUGACUGGAGGCCGGUAGAGGCGUGUGGAAUUCCGGGUGUAGUGGUGAAAUGCGUAGAGAUCCGGAGGAACACCAGUGGCGAAGGCGACACGCUGGACCGAGCCUGACGCUCAGACGCGACAGCAUGGGGAGCGAACGGG